AUUUAAAUAGUUUAAGUAAAACUUUGAUUUGUGAUAUCAAAAUUAUAAUUGUUAUUUUAAAUA
RNAcentral lists this transfer RNA (63 nucleotides) under Proterops sp. QL-2014. Its description in RNAcentral is "tRNA-His". Lineage: Eukaryota; Metazoa; Arthropoda; Insecta; Hymenoptera; Braconidae. The record is from RNAcentral.